Molecule: long non-coding RNA, 299 nt
Organism: Panicum virgatum (switchgrass)
Lineage: Eukaryota; Viridiplantae; Streptophyta; Magnoliopsida; Poales; Poaceae
Exons: 2
Source: RefSeq, a predicted model, not a curated record
CACCAAGUUUUAUGCGUGCAGGUUUCAAUGUUUAAGAAAAAUUACGAUCAUCUCCCAAAGGAUACAUACUUUGGCCUAUACAAAGAAGCAACACGUGGUAAUCCAAAUUACUUCCUCACUUAUGGUAAUGGAAAAUCAGCUGCAAGGGUUCAGGAGCAUUUGCGUCCCAAUGGUGCUCAUAGAUGGCAUAAUUACAUGAAAACCCCAAACGAAAUCAAAUUGGAGGAGGCUGCUAUCCUGCAUUACACCUACACAAAAUUCUCGGACCUAACCUCAAGGAGGGAUAGGUGUGGCUGCAA